CGAAAGACUAAUAAAACCCCGUCAUAGCUGGUUCUCCCCGAAAUAUAUUGAGGUAUAGCCUCGCGUGCUGAGCAGUGGAGGUAGAGCACUGGAUCGACUAGGGCCCACACCCGGGUACCGAAUCGAAUCAAACUCCGAAUGCCAUUGCGUGCAACGCGGGAGUAAGUCCGUAUGGGAUAAGCUGUAUGGGCGAGAGGGAAAGAUCCCAGAUCGCCGGCUAAGGUGCCCAAAUAUUGCUAAGUGGAAAGGAUGUGAAAUUUCAUAGACAGUGAGGAUGUUGGCUUAGAGGCAGCCAUCAUUUAAACAGUGCGUAAUAGCUGACUCAUCGAGAAAUUUCGCGCCGAAAAUGAUUGGCGAUAAGCAAUAUACCGAAGCCGCGGAUACCAUUUGACCUCGGUCAGAUGGCCUGGUAGGGGAGCGUUCUGAGUACUGCGAAGCAGGAGGGUAACCAACUGUGGAGUGCUUGGAAGUGAGAAUGCAGACAUGAGUAGCGAUAAGACUGGUUGAAUUCCAGUCCGCCGUAAACCCAAGGAUUCCUGGGGAAGGCUCGUCCUCCCAGGGUUAGUCGGGACCUAAGUCGAGGCCGUAAGGCGUAGACGAUGGACAGCAGGUUCAAUAUUCCUGCACCACCGACAUUUAAGCAGUGGGAACACAGGCUCGGAGAAUAGCGGGGCGUUGAUCGUCCCUGUUUCGAAAGAUGACGCGGAGGCUACGGCUGAAGCGGAUUAUUCAAAGAGACUGUCGAGAAAAGCCACUGUGUAUACUAAGGUGCCCGUACCGUAAACCGACACAGGUGGGUGGGUAGAAUAUACCAAGGCGCGUGAGUGAAAUCUCUAGAAGGAACUAGGCAAAUUAGCCCCGUAACUUCGGAAGAAGGGGCGCCCCGCAAGGGGCCGCAGUGAAAGGGGUCAACCGACUGUUUAGCUAAAACACAGCUCUCUGCCAAGUCGCAAGACGACGUAUAGGGAGUGACACGUGACCAAUGCUCCAAGAUUAAGGGGAUCUGUCAGCGCAAGCGAAGCAUUGAACCCAAGUCCGAGUGAAUGUCGGCCGUAACRAUAACGGUCCUAAGGUAGCGAAAUUCCUUGUCGGGUAAGUUCCGACCUGCACGAAUCGUGUAACGAGUUGACCGCUGUCUCCUAGAGAAGCUCAGCGAAGUUGUAGUGGCGGUGAAAAUGCCGCCUUCCCGCAGUAGGACGGAAAGACCCCAUGCACCUUUUACUAUAAGCUGUUACUGUAUUGUCGCUAAGGAUACUUAGCGUAAGUGGGAGGCUUUGAGGUAUCUCUUUCGGGAGGUACUGAGCCGCCAA
RNAcentral lists this ribosomal RNA (1310 nucleotides) under Coptotermes gestroi. RNAcentral's name for it is "bacterial LSU rRNA". Lineage: Eukaryota; Metazoa; Arthropoda; Insecta; Blattodea; Rhinotermitidae. The record is from RNAcentral.